Molecule: long non-coding RNA, 832 nt
Filed under: Ananas comosus (pineapple)
Lineage: Eukaryota; Viridiplantae; Streptophyta; Magnoliopsida; Poales; Bromeliaceae
Description: long non-coding RNA (ACOM_LNC043411)
Source: RNAcentral
GAUAUAUUUAUUUAUUUAUUUGUUUAUUUGAAUAUUAAUUUAUUUGGGAUGAUCUCAGGGUGGCGCGGGGUCCUCGGGGUUUGGAGUGGCGACAGUGGUCGAGGUGGGUGUUGCCGGUGCCAGAGGAAGGGGACGAGGAGGGGUGCUGUACGAGGGUUAAUUGACAAUUAACCAGAGAAGUCAAUUGGGAGAGUUAAUUGGGAGAGUUAAUUAGGGUAGAAGAGUUAAUUAUCUAAGAUUAAUUAGAAUAAAUUAUUCUUCAGAUCUGCACAGAACUGAGUUUAUUAAUAUUUUUAAAUAUAUAACUCUUAUAUUUAUUAAUAUAUGUUUAUUAUAAUUUUAAAUAUAUUUAAUCUAUAUAUAAAAAUUAUAAUAAUAAUAUAUAUAGUAUAUUAAUUACUAUAUAUUUAUUAUAUAGCCGAAUUUUUGAUCCCGAAUUUUUAAUUGGUGCUUAUACCUGUAUAAAUCACUUAUCCGAAUAAUUGUCGAAUCCAUUUUUUAGCCGUAUUUUUCAACGAAUUUUAAAGUUAAAUGACGAAUUUUAUCCGAAUUUUAUCCGUACCGAAUUUUUGCCGAAUCCGAAUUAACUGACUAUGCUUCCAGCCACCAAGAUUGGUUUAGCUGUGAUCGAUCUCAUCCGUUCAUCUGGCUGUGCUUAAUUAAUUAAUAAAUAUUUGAAGGGCAAAUAAGAAAAGUAUUUGUUAUAUGAAGGGUAUAUAAGAAAAGUUAGUUACGGUACAAGGGUAUAUUGGAAUGGGCAAAAUGGUAAUUUUUCAGAGAUAACGGCAGCUCACUAACGGAACUUAACUCCAGGAGUAUAUUAGAAAAACUU